This 1363-nucleotide long non-coding RNA is filed under the name Sus scrofa (pig). RNAcentral describes it as "lncRNA (ENSSSCG00025072256.1)". The record is from RNAcentral. Lineage: Eukaryota; Metazoa; Chordata; Mammalia; Artiodactyla; Suidae.
GAUUUCAGACGUACCAGUAUCUCCCCCCAUAGACUUGUACUGGCAACCUCCACGUGCUCUUGUGUAAUUACUCCCCUCAGCCAGAGCCCUUUCUGAGUUGGGACAGAUGCAGUGCAUCCAAAAGGACGAGGAGAGUGGAAGAGGGUCAUUAACAGAGAAGCGGCUCUGCAGGUGACCGCGUGCAAUGCUGUUUCUCGUCCUGCCCUCGUUCCCUCCCAGGCUCUGACCAACACGGUGCAGCUCUUACGACCACGUAGCCUAUGGAUGGCGAAGCCCAGAGGCCGCGGGGCAGUCGCUGGGAGGUGCGGCUCAGAGGAGAGGACCUCCGUACACCUUCCAGCAAUAAAAGCAUCUGGUGGAUGCCGCUAUGUAGGCUCUGGUUGCCAAGGUCCAGUUCCAGGUCCACAUGGUACAGGGUACCUUUGCCCCCUUUCUGUCUCUGCCCUUCUCCCCAUGCCGCACGUGGGUUUGGAAACGCAGUCCUGGUGGAGGACACAGGAUGAACAUGCGACCUGUGAGGAUUCAGGAGGCUGCUCGUCUCAUUCAAGGCACCAUUGAUUUGACAGCCCUUUCCCAAGUAUGUUAACAUCCCCGAUUCUCCUCUUCUGCAGACGGUGAGAGCUCCUCCCCACUAAGCCUGACUCCCCAGGGAGCCCUGGUUGUGACAGAUGCGGUGGUCAGACAGGACUGUCUGCUCAGUCAAAAUUCAGAGCAGGACUGGGACUCCUUUUCAUUUCACAAGGUUAAAAAAAAUGGUUCUUCGUUCGUCCUCUGUGGCGCCACUAGGGGAGAAUUUGGAAAAUUUAUACACACAGUCAAUAAGCUUGUCAUCAAAGAGGCACGGGGGCUCCCAGCUGGGAAGAACAAUUGGCAAAUUCUCCAUUCUGGGCUUUGUUUAUCCUCUCAUUGUGAUGCAUAAUCACUGCUUCCUUAAGAAGGUCUGUGAUUCUUAAUUAGAUUUGACUUUGCAAAUCUUGCAUUUUCCUGGAGAGAACAAGCAAACCAAGUGAAUGGUGGUGGCCUUGACCUGGCAACAGAUUGCCCCCAAUCUUGCUUCUGGCAAAAAGCACAGAGGUUGGAUGGCCUGAGCUGACACGUUAUCACAGAAUCCCGGAAAGUGAGGCGCACAGGGACUCACUCUCAUCCACUCUCAGCAUCCCAGCCCGCCCAGCUUCUUCUCCCUUCUGGGUACGUGUCUCUGCUGGGGAUGGGGCGCCCAUUCCGCUCCAGAAAGACCACGAUCCCACGGGGCAACUGCAGCUGCCAGAGACUACUGUCUUUUGCUCAAAAAUUGGUGCUACUGCCAGCCCCACCCCGUCCUUCCCCUCCCCUUUGAAGGGGCACGUGGGCACGUCUGCCACAC